This 539-nucleotide ribosomal RNA is filed under the name uncultured Alphaproteobacteria bacterium. RNAcentral's name for it is "bacterial SSU rRNA". It matches the Rfam family "Bacterial small subunit ribosomal RNA", at positions 381 to 932 of the family's 1533-position model. Lineage: Bacteria; Pseudomonadati; Pseudomonadota; Alphaproteobacteria. The record is from RNAcentral.
AGCUGAUCCAGCAUGCCGCGUGAGUGAUGAAGGCCUUCGGGUUGUAAAGCUCUUUUGCUCAGGGAAGAUAAUGACGGUACCAGGAGAAUAAGCUCCGGCUAAUUCCUUGCCAACAGCCGCGGUAAUACUACGGGGGCUAGCGUUGUUCGGAAUUACUGGGCGUAAAGCUAACGUAAGUUACUUGUUCAAGUCAGAGGUGAAAGCCUGGAUCUCAACUCCACAACUGCCUUUGAAACUAAAUAUGUAGAAUUCAUGGAGAGGUGGGUGGAAUUCCAAGUGUAAAAGGGAAAUUCAAUUAUAUUCGGAAGAACACCAUGGGCAAAGGCGUCUAACUGCACCUGUAUUGACGGUAAGGUCCUAAAGCGUGAGGAGCAAACAGGAUUAAAUACCCGGGUAGUCCACGCGAUAAACGAUGAUGGCUAUCUGUCCGGGCUCUAAUGUCUACUAGUGACGCAGCUAACGCAUUAAGUUAUCCGCCUGGGGAGUACGGUCGCAAGCAUUAAAACUCAAAGGAAAUUGACGGAUUAAAACUCAAAGGA